This 305-nucleotide ribosomal RNA is filed under the name uncultured bacterium. RNAcentral's name for it is "bacterial SSU rRNA". It matches the Rfam family "Bacterial small subunit ribosomal RNA", at positions 337 to 639 of the family's 1533-position model. The record is from RNAcentral.
CCCUACGGGGGGCAGCAGUGAGGAAUAUUGGUCAAUGGGCGGAAGCCUGAACCAGCCAAGUCGCGUGAGGGAAUAAGGCCCUACGGGUCGUAAACCUCUUUUGCCGGGGAGCAAGGGCGGGGACGUGUCCCGGCCCGGAGAGUACCCGGAGAAAAAGCAUCGGCUAACUCCGUGCCAGCAGCCGCGGUAAUACGGAGGAUGCGAGCGUUAUCCGGAUUUAUUGGGUUUAAAGGGUGCGCAGGCGGGAGAUCAAGUCAGCGGUAAAAUGUCGGGGCUCAACCCCGGCCGGCCGUUGAAACUGGUUU